Non-coding RNA from Lolium perenne, 3878 nucleotides. The record is from RefSeq and is a predicted model, not a curated record. NCBI's taxonomy places the organism in Eukaryota, Viridiplantae, Streptophyta, Magnoliopsida, Poales, Poaceae.
GAGCUAACACGUGUGUUUUGGGGUGAUUGAUUACUGCAUGUUUCUUUGCGUGUACCGUUUUGGUGCUGUCCAAGAAUUUAAGAUAGGUUCAAAUUUAUUUAAUGAUGCAUUGGACCUUUGGCGGUGAGAUGCUCUGGGGUAUCAGCAGUGUGGCCAUAGCUGCGUUCAUCCUAAGAUGGUGGUGGGCCAUGGAGCAGUCCGCAUUUGAUGGGUUACACGCUCUGGUUCCAAUGCACCGCACCGCUUUGACCAUUUAUUUUCUAGAUAGAUGGCCUCCAUCUAUCUUCUUCUCCACCGGCCCAAGGUCCUUCUCGAUCCCCCCACGCCUGUACUGGCCUCCCCCGCCGGAGCUCUCCUUCCUGAUCCCCCACUCCUCCAUGUCCUCGAACUCCCAUGUGAGCUCCUCUCUACCCGCCGCCCCUCAAUGACGGCGCAUACCAGGAGCAGGUCACGCACGUCCUUCGGUCCACUGCCUCCCUCGGCGGGCUUCGUCCGCUCCCGCUCGCCGGCGGUAAGCUUAGGCGACGCUCGGUCGUCCCUGCUUAGAUUCGUGGCCGAUCCUGCGUGCAUGACGCCGGAGAAGCCCGGCUGCCGCCCAACAGUGCUGCUCGCCUUGGUGGUCGCCGCGCGUGCCUCCACGGCGAAGACGCCGAUUGGAUCGAGCGAGCAGCCCGUCCCCUCCCCUUCUGGCAGUGCAGCGGGGAGCAGAACCACGUGCUGCCAGGGGAGCGCAGGCGCAGGCGUAGCAGGUGCUUCUUGCACUGGUGGGUCAUGGCGGCGUUGCGGCGGCGAGGUGGCGCUGUGGCCUAGGGUCUUGAUCGGCGCUAAGUGGUUUCAGUUUGAGGAUGCUGGAUGCGGGACUCAAGUGUGGAUGGGGUGCGCCAUGUCGAGCCCAUCACUGCCAUGCCCUCCCCUGCAUCCACACAUGGCGACGACGGAGACAACCGCAUGGGUCCUGUCCCCACCAGCGGCACCCGCGUUUGCGGCCUGAUGGAGAAGGAGAAGGAUCUGCUGUUGUCGCCGGAAUUGCAGCGCAGCAGGCGGCAGCGGCGGCGAAGAUGCAGAGGGGGCGCACUUCCACCGGAGGGUCCAUGAAUCCCAGCGAGCGGCGGCCGUGUCAUCUGGUCGCGAGUGCGUUCUCCACUCCACGGCGGACGACAACAUUAGGUUAUGCAUCGACGGUUUGCACAAUUCUGGGAGCGCACGCGUCCGGCUGCAGCAACAACUCUGCAUUUUUUUCUCCUUUUUCUUUGUUUGACCGCCCGUUCAUCUUCUUUAGAAUCCUUCACCGGCAUCGCAGCAACCAGGUGAUUCCCCAACUCAUCUCGCCUCCUAGAACAUCAUCUUAUCUCCCUAAUUUGACAUAUGAGCGCUCAAUUUAUUUUUCCUUUUUUCCCCUCUCCCCUUAGUCCCUCCCGUAAUCCGAUUAAUAUUCGUUUAGGGAGAUUCAUGAGUUUCACCUACCAGAUGGAUGUGUGCACCCUUCACAAUCUGCGGGUAAGACAACCAACGAACGAUGAAAAGUUGGCAUCAAUUUGGUUUCCUGAGUGUCCAUAGAUGAAAGCGUGCGGCUCCCAGGAGAUAAAGUGCCAUACUAUCUCACGAUUGAUUGUCUAAACGUUUUUGUUUUCUAUACCAAGUGCAUCUUAUUAUUAGUUGGUUGGUUUCUUAGGAAAUUAGUUAGCGACAAGUGCAUAUUAUUACUACUUCUGGACUUCUGGUCACCUUUUACCAUUGUCACUGUCGGUAUUGCGAUUCUUUUAGUCCUGAAGAGAAGGUAAAAAUAGUUGUGGAACAUCUCCUUCCUAGGGUAUUUGAACAACACUGACUAGAUUUGAGCACCAGCAAGCUAUUACUACUCCUCCAGAGAGAUAUCAUACUGACGUAUUUCAAUGCUUUGGUUCCUCUGACCCUCUACUCUUCCAGUUCAUCUGCAGCGUCACGCCUCUGGUCAACUCAGCUAUUGGAUAAGCAAAGUAUGCCGACCAUGCUUCACCUUUCUCAGGCGAUCACAGGUGAGCAUCAACGCUUAUGGAUAUAUGUUUGAAGGUUGAAAUCUUCCAGGAUGGUUCUUGAUCUAGACAAUGCUUCUUGCUUCCAAGUUAAACCAGUUUGGCUUUCAUAAGUACAUUGAGCUUGGAAUGCUCUUCAAUCUGUACAUGCUCAUUCUGUAUUUCUCAAGGGAAUGUUUUCCCUUCUUUAGGCUAGCUUCCAGCUAUUAUAUGUCAAGUGAUGUUCAUUGCAAUUCUAUAUUACAUAACCUUUAAGAUUAAAUUCGUGACCAAUUCUGCCAAUUGUGUCCGGCAAUUUAUAAAUUUGGUGAUGUGCUUAGCUCAGCUAAUUAAAUCGUUACCUGAUAUUGUUUUGAAAAAUGAGUAUGAACAUUGAAUUUUUUGCUAUUUCAGGAGAUACUUCUAUUUUCGGUUGCGGCUCUAAUAUAUAUCUCUAGGUUAUAUUUACCAAUUGAAGUACUCAUGCCAUGAUCUAUCCUCACACAUAUGUAAAGAUUCUUCUCCAAGUAGUUUAUUGAAAUAAUGUGCCGUUGUGAUGAUGUAAGAUAUUUCUUAGUAGAGCUUCAAACAGUUCUUCGUUUUAUUUUAUGUUUGGUAAUACAUGAUUUAUAGCUGACAAGGUACCGUAGCUGAAUUGGUAGACUUUGUUGGAGAUUCUUACUGCUCCUCACAAGGUCAUGCUUAUGUUCUAAUGCUUCCAUUUAGUUUGCUAAAGUUUCCGAGAACUGGUCAUUAUAUAGUAAUAGUUAGAAGGUUACAUUAACAAUACCUUGGAUAGGUUCAGUGAUAUAAAUUGUCAACAUAUAUGCUCGGUGUGGAUUAUGUAUUGACCAUUGCAUCUGAAUUUCUGAAUGAUCGCAUGCCAUUGUUCGGGUCACAUCUUCCUUCGCUACAAUGUGAGCUUAUUUCAACUCUGGCCUCAAGUUGCUCCCGUCAUUGCCUCCUCAUAGAUUGUUUAAUUGAUUAUUUAAACCUUUUUUUCUUAUUCUUGAUAGAUAAGCUAGCUAUAGGAAAUAUGCUUCUAGAUUCUCCAUGUUCCAGUAAUGGCAAACACAUUCGUUUAUGGUUAUACCUACUGUGCUUUUCUUUUGUUUUCGAUGAAAGAUGAUAGGUAGAACAACUGCUAUGUAUCUUUGCACUUUGUAGGAAAGAAGGUAAGAAAUAUCUCUUUUGUGACGAAACACUUUCAAAAAUCUCCUUUUUAUGAUGACAUCAUUGAAUAAGACCUAAUGGAGUAAGGUGCAUUUGUUUUUUGAUGACAUGGCAAGGCCAGGAAAAGAGUUAUACAUUUACAUUCGCUUUUAGAAAUUCCCAUAUUGACUAAUAUGGCUUAUCGCGGGUUCUUUCCCACUGACGCUUUACACUUCUUUGUCUCAGAAAAUAGUUACAUCAUGAGGAGACAAGAUAUUGGCCAAUAGAGCCAUAAUGCGACCCGACCAUUCUCCUGCGAGGGAUGUCUUGUGGUGACAAGAAGAUGGUUUCUGGUAACAAUUCCUUUUUUUGGAGUUCAAUUCAAAGGGGAUGUGAGAAUGAAUACCUAAUCAAGCAACUGGAGACAGAACAAAAAAUAGUUCAGGUUUUGCAAUAGUGUCUAGGAAAAGUUGUUGUGGUAUACAACAAAUAUGAAGGGUUUUGUGUGUUUCAGAAAACCUCAAGAGAAGAUGAUUGAGUGUACAGAACCAUGAUGAGAAGAGUGCUAAACCACAAGUUAGAAGGUAGCUAUAUCAAGACGAGAAUUGUUCUCUUCAGUUUUGGUGCUAUUCUGAAGCUUGCUAUUAUUUCGUACACAUGGUUCAUUACUUCUAUUGGUUAAGUGUAAUCUUAAAAUUAUUACAACCAUCGUAUUAUUACAUAGUUGGCGCGGCG